GCUGGGUGAGGUGGCGCACACUUGUAAUCCCAGUGAUUUGGGAGGCUGAGGCAGAAGGAGUGCAAGUUCAAGGUCAGUCUCAGCAACUUUGCAGGAUCUUCAGCUGCUUAGUGAGAUCCUGUCUCAA
RNAcentral lists this small RNA (127 nucleotides) under Marmota monax (woodchuck). The record is from RNAcentral. Lineage: Eukaryota; Metazoa; Chordata; Mammalia; Rodentia; Sciuridae.